UUCCCCACAUCUGGUCAUUGCAACAACAGGGAUAGGGUGAGAAGACCUCAGUUGGAGCAAAGGCAUGUGUGAGCUCCCUUUGCUACCAUAUACUCAAGUAAAGAUGCCUUCACAGCUGUUCUGGAAUCAAACUGUAGAGGAAGAGGUGAAAGAGGGACAGGUCUAAUGGGACAUGGGACCUUUCCAGCGGGUGACAGGAGGCUUUGGCACCCUGGUUCCAUGGCACCCCAGCCUCAGCUCUUCCCUCUUCACCUGGCCCUGGAGAAGCCACAGGGCCAAUCCCUGGUGGUAUUUCAUAAAGGUGGUACUUAGAACCCUGACCCUCAUACCACAUGAGACACCACUUGUGAGUGGCUAGCAACAUUCUGUGACAUCACAGUCACUGAGAGGUGCACUCUCUAGUGGUUAGGCCAAAGUGGCCAGUAGCCUGCUUACUGCCGACCUAUACAGGUAUUGGUGGUUGAAGCAGGAGACAUAUUUGGAGUGCCAGAUGGAUUCUCACUUGAGACAUGACUGGGCCAUCCUGAAGAAUCUGAGGGACAAGGAGUGUGCUCAGGUCAUCUGUCUGUAUGAAAAGGGACCCCAUCAAAGGCUCCUUUCUUAAAUUGGAAAAGAAAACUACUACAGUGAAGACCUUGUGCCAGACAGCUUUGGCUUCCUGUGGUGGGUUGUUGGCACCCUAGCUCAUCUCUGGGUAUCGGUGAGUUUCAGAAACUCCAGCAACUGGCAUUCUGGUAUGGGGGUUAAGUCACCACCUACAAU
Molecule: long non-coding RNA, 762 nt
Organism: Ochotona princeps (American pika)
Lineage: Eukaryota; Metazoa; Chordata; Mammalia; Lagomorpha; Ochotonidae
Exons: 3
Source: RefSeq, a predicted model, not a curated record